AUACCAUGGUGAGGGCAAGCUCUUGUAUACCCCUUCAUACGCUCCAAUGCAUCAUACAAACUCUCUUCUUCGCCUUGCUCGAAUCUAGUUGUAUCAUUUCUUAUUUU
Non-coding RNA from Arabis alpina (gray rockcress), 107 nucleotides. NCBI's taxonomy places the organism in Eukaryota, Viridiplantae, Streptophyta, Magnoliopsida, Brassicales, Brassicaceae. The record is from Rfam.